GCAGUCGAACGAAGGCUUCGGCCUUAGUGGCGCACGGGUGAGUAACGCGUGGGAACGUGCCUUUUGGUUCGGGAUAACUCCGGGAAACUGGAGCUAAUACCGGAUGAGCCCUCCGGGGGAAAGAUUUAUCGCCGAAAGAGCGGCCCGCGUCUGAUUAGCUAGUUGGUGGGGUAAUGGCCCACCAAGGCGACGAUCAGUAGCUGGUCUGAGAGGAUGAUCAGCCACACUGGGACUGAGACACGGCCCAGACUCCUACGGGAGGCAGCAGUGGGGAAUAUUGGACAAUGGGGGCAACCCUGAUCCAGCCAUGCCGCGUGAGUGAUGAAGGCCUUAGGGUUGUAAAGCUCUUUCGCACGCGACGAUGAUGACGGUAGCGUGAGAAGAAGCCCCGGCUAACUUCGUGCCAGCAGCCGCGGUAAUACGAAGGGGGCUAGCGUUGUUCGGAAUUACUGGGCGUAAAGGGCGCGUAGGCGGCGCAUCAAGUCAGGCGUGAAAGCCCCGGGCUUAACCUGGGAAUUGCGCUUGAGACUGUUGUGCUUGAGUUCCGGAGAGGUGGGUGGAAUUCCCAGUGUAGAGGUGAAAUUCGUAGAUAUUGGGAAGAACACCGGUGGCGAAGGCGGCCCACUGGACGGACACUGACGCUGAGGCGCGAAAGCGUGGGGAGCAAACAGGAU
Molecule: ribosomal RNA, 674 nt
Filed under: bacterium SL4.35
Lineage: Bacteria
Description: bacterial SSU rRNA
Rfam family: Bacterial small subunit ribosomal RNA
Source: RNAcentral